GCCAGUGGCUUUCCCGCGGAGGGCGGCCCCGCGGGGCCUCCCGACCCGCUCUGGGCUAAGCGAGCGGCCAGGUUUCGUGCCCUCAGGUGGCUGUGGUUAACAAGUCGCGAACUUGUGGGAAUUCGUCGACCAGGGUUUACCUGGUGUGCUCGACAUUUUAAAUCCUUGCUCUCUAGUCUUUGAGGUCACCACUAACGCGGGGCGGGCCGGGCUCCACCGCACGGCGCUGUCCUUCCCGGAGGGCCCGCGAGGGUGGGCCGCUCCGGGGGUUGCGAGAUGGAGGGUCGCGGGCGUGCGUUCUUCCGACCUUCCGUCAGACAUUUUGUGCCCGCCACGUGCUAGCCUAUCGCCCAGCUCGCGCCUCAAAACUUGAGAGGCUUUCUUGGCUUGAGAAGAGACAGCUGGUAUAAUUGGAGAGCAUCGCCCCACCAGUUAGACUGUCAGCAUCUCCCUACUGUAUACAUGCUUGAUUAAUGCUAUUAAAUAUGGUAGGUUCACUAAAAGAAUGCCUUUGUUGGUGCAGUUAAAAUGGUAAUUUGCAUCACUGUGAGUAGAUCAAAGUGAGCUAAAAAGUUGCAAGUUUCAGGAUGAUCAUAGAGCAAGAAUGGCAAUAUGGAUUAUUGUGGUGGAUCUGCAUGUAGACUAUUAAAUAAUCAAUAUUCAAAAGUUCAAAUCAUCAGAUGUGAUACUGUUUUUGAGAUGGAGUCUCACUCUGUUGCCCAGGCUGGAGUGCAAUGGCGAAAUCUCGGCUAACUG
This 756-nucleotide long non-coding RNA is filed under the name Homo sapiens (human). Its description in RNAcentral is "HSALNT0353988". The record is from RNAcentral. Lineage: Eukaryota; Metazoa; Chordata; Mammalia; Primates; Hominidae.